CCGAUAGAGGCGCGGCGCUCAUCAGUAGCUCGAACCACCCGGCCGGGACCGGGCGAGGGAAAGGGAUCGCCGCCGAAGGGUCGCCGGGUCCCCUGACCGUCGAUCGCCUGGGCCGUCGGAGAACAUCCGCCGGACUGCCAUUUGUAUGAAUGGAGCGCUAUCA
RNAcentral lists this non-coding RNA (163 nucleotides) under human gut metagenome. RNAcentral's name for it is "Lysine riboswitch". It matches the Rfam family "Lysine riboswitch aptamer". Rfam says of the family: Riboswitches are metabolite binding domains within certain messenger RNAs that serve as precision sensors for their corresponding targets. Allosteric rearrangement of mRNA structure is mediated by ligand binding, and this results in modulation of gene expression. The record is from RNAcentral.